This 253-nucleotide ribosomal RNA is filed under the name uncultured bacterium. Its description in RNAcentral is "partial 16S ribosomal RNA". It matches the Rfam family "Bacterial small subunit ribosomal RNA", at positions 524 to 776 of the family's 1533-position model. The record is from RNAcentral.
UACGUAGGGGGCAAGCGUUGUCCGGAAUUAUUGGGCGUAAAGAGCUCGUAGGCGGUUUGUUGCGUCGGCUGUGAAAUCCCGAGGCUCAACCUCGGGUCUGCAGUCGAUACGAGCAAACUAGAGUGUUGCAGGGGAGACUGGAAUUCCUGGUGUAGCGGUGAAAUGCGCAGAUAUCAGGAGGAACACCGGUGGCGAAGGCGGGUCUCUGGGCAACAACUGACGCUGAGGAGCGAAAGCGUGGGGAGCGAACAGG